GUUGGAUAUGGGUCUCGGUCGGGUGGUGCCGCCUCACGGUGGUCACUGCCUCGAUCGGACAAUUCAUUGGAUCGUUCGGGGUGCUCUUAACCGAGUGUCCUGGGUGGCCGAUACGUUUACUUUGAACAAAUUAGAGUGCUUAAAGCAGGUGCACCGCGCCUGAAUAUCACAGCAUGGAAUGAUGGAAUAGGACCUCGGUCUUAUUAUGUUGGUUUUCUGGACUUGAGGUAAUGGUUAACAGAGACAGACGGGGGCAUUCGUACUGCGACGCUAGAGGUGAAAUUCUUGGACCGUCGCAAGACGAACAACUGCGAAAGCAUUUGCCAAGAAUGUUUUCAUUAAUCAAGAACGAAAGUUAGAGGUUCGAAGGCGAUCAGAUACCGCCCUAGUUCUAACCAUAAACGAUGCCAACCA
This 414-nucleotide ribosomal RNA is filed under the name uncultured eukaryote. RNAcentral describes it as "SSU rRNA". It matches the Rfam family "Eukaryotic small subunit ribosomal RNA", at positions 633 to 1048 of the family's 1831-position model. The record is from RNAcentral.